CCAGUUUAGCUAAGUGUCAGGAGCAAUAUGAAGAAAGUCCUGGUUGGAGGCGCAAGGCUCCAAGGCUUCAGACUAGCUGUGGAACCUCAGUGGUGACUGUACAGCUCCAUCCACAAGCAGUUAUUUGCAGGGUGAUCACCAUGGAGGGGGAACAUAGCUGUAGGUGGAUGUUCUUGGGACCCAGUUCGUGGGCACAGUGACCAGAUGAGGGGCAACAGGAGUUGGGCAUUGGGCAAUCAGCAGGUACCUACUAACAUGGUCACAGUGUUCCCAGCAACCAUGUGCAUGGUGAUUCCAAUGCCUCUG
This 306-nucleotide long non-coding RNA is filed under the name Marmota monax (woodchuck). The record is from RNAcentral. Lineage: Eukaryota; Metazoa; Chordata; Mammalia; Rodentia; Sciuridae.